ACAAAUACAACAACAAAGAAAUUACAUUUAAUAAAGCAUUGUUUUAACACUAAAAAAAGCAAAACAAAUUAUUUAUAUAAAUUUAUAUAAAUAUAUGUAUAUAUAAGUUUUGUAUAAUUUUCUCAGCAUUGAAAAUUAUAUGAAUUGCUUAUAUACAUAAUGCGUAUCCCAUGUGUAUAUGUAUGUGUAUUAUUUAGUUUUGUCUAAAACUACUUUCAGCCGUAGGCAGUGAAGAGAACACAGUCAGUGAGUCGGUCAGUCAGUCAGUCACUUGUCUUGAGCCGUAAGCAUUGUGGCACACGGAUGGAGUACAACUUGAUGAGCAGCUAUCUAACGACUGGUACUGCUGUAUUAUGUAGGUUGUCCAGUGCUGCUACAUAGCAAUUUGGAUUUGUCAUUUAUGUCUGUAUGUGGUAUGUGUUUACCGUAUGCGCAUGCGCGCGUGUUUGACUGCGUGUUAGCUAUGUGUGAGUCUCUAGUGAACAGUACCACCCAUUUUUUGGCGCCAACAUGUAGGUUUUGUUUUUAUAUGACAUACAUACAUAUAUUUUUAUGCUUAGCAUUGCUGAUUUACUAUAUUUGUAUCACUAUAUUGAUGACUGUCUAUAAUUGAAAUGCGUACAUAACCUACAAAUAUGUUUUAACUAUAGCCUAUUUGAUUGUUUAUGCCAUAUAAUUUAUUUUAAUGCCAAAUUUCAAAUUUCCUUAGUUAUGUACAUAUAUAUUUAUUAUAUAUGUAUAUAUAUAUAUGUAUGUAUAAAUAUUUCUCGUAGUUUUUUGGCUGCUGUUGCUGCUGCUGUCAUGCUAGCUUCCUCUUCCCCCACAUUCUGAGCUGCUUUUUGGUUCACGUCAGUUGGCAUUUAGACAACGGAUAGGCUGGUGUUUUGGUCAGCAAUACAGUGGAUGCACGUAAUUCCUUUUUUGUUGUUUUACUUACAUACUUCAAUUAAUUUUUCUUAUUUACCAUAUAUAAUUUUAUACUGUGCAUAUUUGCUUUUGUAUAUGAUAUAUUUAUAAACUUUACGAACAUAAUUGUUGUUGCUGCUGAUUAAACAUGUCCUAAUUGUGGUGUAGACCGUUGGUUUACAGCUUAGGUUUUAAAAAAAAUGUCGUAUUUCGUACGAUGACGUUCCGAAGAGUACAUAACCUCAUCGUCUGGUGGCGCUAUUAGCCAGAGACCAAGGAAUAGUUGAUACAGUGAAUUUCACUGGGCGAAUCUUUUCUGAAAAAGGCGAGGACUCUUCUAUAAGCUGAUAAAAUGACCGUUUUCAGAGCUUCAAAAGGUGUAAUCUAUAUUGACUACAUAAAAAGGCGUCGCUUUAAAAGAUGUUAAAGAAUCAAUGGAUUAUAUCUAGAUCACUAAUCCUCCAGUCCCUAGCCAGUAUUACAUGGGGUAAAGACAAAAAAACGUUGUUUACAAAUUAGCUGGCUAUCGGUCGGCCAGUCAUAAACUACACAGCCCCUAUAUGGUCGCUUGGAUGCAGUAGGAGCCAGCUGAGGAAGUUUCGGACUUGUCAGAAUAACGCUCUCCGGAUAGCCACAGGUUGCUUCUUGAUGUCUUUGGUUGAGCACCUACACAAUUAGGCUCGUAUGUUACCUGUGAAGGAGCAUAACGAAAUGCUCUUCCGACAGUUUCUGUUCGUAUGCUUUCUUAGAAAUCAUCCCUGCAGUCUGCUACUGGAAGCCGAGCCGCGUACGAGUGCUCUCAAGAGUACUUUCCUCAAAUACGUCGACGACAUACAGGACUAUACCGACCGGAAAUCGGAUGCGACAAACUUUCGACAAACACUGAACGCCAUUCACAGAGGAGCCAUUAACACCUUUCGACCCUAGAUGACUUCGAUGAUAAUUAGUCUAAGCAUGCCGGUUCAGUUAAUUCUCUAUAUCCGAUACGUUGUUGCCAAGACACUAAUUUGACUUCCUUUUUAUGCACUGUUAUUGUCAAAGUUAAAGGUCUAAUUCCUCAGUUUUUUCGAAGGUUAAAAUAUCAUUUCCCGCUUCACUUGUUUCGGGUACUUUUCGAUUACUUAAACCCCGGCUCUUGUGGGAACGACAUUAAAAAACGUCUUACCUUUGGAACCGUACUCGGAAAACCCCCAAAAAAUUAGAGAAAAUAUUAAAACCAGUGUCCUUAUUAGCGAGUGAGUGCUUAAGAGAAUUGUAGCGCACAUUGCAUAUAAUUUUUUGGGAAGACAUUUUGGAAUAUUUAGAUUUAAGAUUCUUAACUUUACAGCGUAUUGAAGAGUGUCGAACUGGAGAAAGUGAACAAAUGGACAAGUGGAACGGUAAAGUAAGACGAAAUAUGGCCGUGACAGUUAGUAAGUAUGUUUAGCGGAUUUGGAAGAAGCACAGAAAGUUUGAGCAAAAUAAGAAAAUUAUAAAAACAAUUUAUUAUUUUUAGAAAAAUUAUUUCUCAGCGUGGUUAGAACGCAAUAUUUUAUAUUAUAUUUGUUUCAAUAGAUAUAAUAAUGUGUUGCAAUUUUGGUAGCUUUGGGAUAAAAAAUUAAAAAUCUAUAAACCUAUGCAUUUUUUAAAUUAUAUCUACAUGCCUAAAAUGUGUAUCUACUUUCAGAGUGACCAGCACAACCACAUACACAAAAAUUGAAUUCUUUAAAAAUGUAUAUUUUGGUAAUAUUUACCUUAAAAAUUGUAUGUAGUUUCAAUGCAAUUUCACUAUACAUAUACAUGUGUACAUAGAUUUAUCUGCAUAUUUGUUGAAAAUAUUUAAUGAAAAUUGAUAGUUUCAAAUUUCAUAUUUCUUUCAGCGCAGGCGCACACACGCCUACAAGUGAAUAUACAUAUAUUACAUAUUGUUAUUUACCAACCUCCUCCUCCACCCACUGACCAGGCAUUAUAAUGCAUGAAUAGGCGCGUGUGUGUGCGUGUGCAGCCAGAGUAGAUCAGUUUUCAGUUUGUGUGCCGAGCAAUAGGAUCAACUGUAGGAUACUUGAGAACGAAAGUCGAACCGCACACAGUAAAGAAGUCUCGUAAAAAUAUGCAAAAUUGUGAGUUAACGCCUUUUUGAGUUCUUGCCAAGCAGGUAAUAUUAUUUUGAAUUGUAUUUUUUUACUUGAUAUACAACAAAUUUCAAACCACGUAUAUUCAAAUUUAUAUUUUAUACCAACCAAUUCGUUUGUAAAUGUUAGUGAAUCGAAAGAAGUAUGUGUGAAAGUGUGAUUAGAAGAGAAUUUUUCCAAAACUUAAACAAAAAAAUAUUAAAAUGUAUUUUUUUAAUUCGAUAAGAAUUAUUGAGAUUUUCUGAUUUCCUGAUUGCGUUAAAACGGUCAGGACCUCAUUGAGAAUUGAGGGAAUUCGUGAAAAUCAUAAAUUAUAUUAUUUAGUGAUUACCAUAAUGUUAGGCGAUCAAUUUCAUAAUUAUUUAGUACUUAAGCUUACCUUUUCAAUAUCACUCUAUAAGUCCAAACUCUUCGAAAAACUCGGAAUUUCGAACAAAUAUGUCAGCUUUAAUAAUGAACUUCACGUUUUUAACAAUAACUAGUGAGAAAGAAAAAGAAUUUUUAGAAAUUUAUUUCAUUUAAAGUAAUUUUAAGGGUUCUUAUGGGGGUGAUGGACUGAAUGGAUGUCUGCUUUUUAAUUAGCUUAUGUUAACAAAGUGAAAUUUUGUGGCUUCUGUAGUCUUCUGCGGCUACAUUACUCUAAUAAUUUCGAAUCAUUUUGCCAACUUGACAAUACUUUGCCAUAUAGAAAUCGGGAUGCGCACCGGUUUCGGGCUCUACACUGUCGUUGGGAUAGGUAUUUUUUAACUUUAUUUCAUCGAGUUUGGUUAGAUGAGCUCAGCUCACACUGUCGAUACACAUUUUCAACCUUGAAGUGGGCGGGACCAUAGCUCAUAUUUCUUUUUAAAAUAAAAUAAAUAUCUUUCAUUAUAUAAAUUCCUUCUUGUGUGUGUGACUAUAGUAGUAAUGGGACUAUACCUAAAUUUUAAUUUCAUAAGGGUCUCCCCAUAGAAUCAGUGUAGUCACCCAAAACUUGUCUUAUUGUUAUUCAGCGAAAGAGGAAAAUCAUGUGAGGAUUUCUAUGUAAUGACGAUGUAUUCGGUGUCUUCGAAAUAGUUUCGUCUGUAUAGAACCGGCCUCAAUUUUAACCUACCGAGCAAUUUCUACAAAAUUUCACACAACGAACUCAAGGUCAAAAUUCUAUAACUAGCAACUCAGGAAUCGAAUUAGGGUUUCUACGACGUGUAUUUUCCUUAUACAAUUUUAGAACAGAAGUUAAUACGUCGUUUACGUAUGAAUAGAUGUAUGUAUGUACUAUAUAAUUAAUAAUGUUUGUUGUUGUUGUCUGUUUGUUUUUCCAUUGAGAUUCAAGGGAUUGUGACGCGCAAUACAUAGCCUAUCCAAUCCAAGUGUCAACCUCACCUACACGCGGUGAAUCUUGUUAUUAUAUAUAGCAGGCGAGGCUCUGGCGAUUUCUAAAAGAUAAAAAAUUUUAAAAUUAAUGAAAAAAUUGUUACAAGUUAAGCGAGAUUUAACUAACCUGCCAUGCUGACCGCAGUGACCAAUAUAAGAUAUCACAACAAUAUCAACGUUACAAUUCUAUUUGGAACUCAACGCAUAUUGAAAAAUAUAUUGAACCAAUUAGUCUUAGUUGUUUUAAGACACUUAAUAAUCUUUAUUCAAUGUUACUGGAGAGAGUGUCCUUUGUCGGUGAUAAAUUUAAGUUGCUCCGGUUAUAUAAAAAAAUCAGUUCCAAAAUAAAACAUCAAUCCAACAAAAGACACUAAACUGGAUCGAAGUUAUAGUUAUACACCUUUAUAUAUUGUCGGUCUAAUGAACAACGCAUUAUGAGAGGAAGAAAUGUAUUGGUAACCUUAAGAAGUUCUCAACUCCAAACAUUUCAAACUCAGAGACAUCAUUUACUAUUAUCAGACCCAGCGUACUCAAACAUCGUCAUUUCUUCCGAUGUGAAGGGACCUGCUCUAUCCCAUCCAAAAAGAUUGCAGUUCGGCUUGUAAUUGAUAAUCGCGAUGUCCUUGAGUUGCGGCGGUAAAUCCAUAUCACUUGAGAGACAAACCGAGUUCACACUACGUUGCCGGGGGUAACUGGGCCAGACGUUCGAUGCUACGUAACCAAAAUCUCUUGUGGAAUCACGGAUUACUUUGGUUACGUUACGCUAAUGUCGAUGAAAUGGCUCAAGACCAACAAAAGAAGGCAACUAAUACAGACAUGUAAACGACAUAGCUGAAGAAAAUGUGCUCGUUGGAUUAUAAAUAUAAGAGUUUAUCUUUUAAAUACCCGAAUGUCUUGGAAACACUUUGGGCCAUCUCAUAAGUUCAUCAGCAAUUCAACUGAAUCGCAUAUAAGGUUUUGUCGAGCGUAUUGUGUGAAAGACUAAAGCCCACCGUCAACGAACUGAUUGGACCUUAUCAGUGUGGCUUUAGACCUGGAAAAUCGACAAUGGACCAGAUAUUCAGCAUGCGCCAAAUCAUGGAAAAGACCCGAGAGAGAAGAAUCGAUACUCACCAUCUUUUCAUCGAUUUUAAAACUGCCUUCGAUAGCACGAAAAGGAGCUGCCUUUAUGCCGCGAUAUCUGAAUUUGGUAUCCCUGCAAAACUAAUACGGCUAUGUAAGCUGACGUUGAGCAACACCAAAAGCUCUGUCAGUAUCGGGAAGGACCUCUCCGAGCCGUUCGAUACCAAACGAGGCUUCUGAAAGCGUGACUCACUAUGCGUAUGCCGAUGAUAUUGAUAAACCUUUGAAGUAGUAGAUAGUUUCGUCUACUUGGGAACCAGCGUUAACAACACCAACAAUGUCAGCCUUGAAAUCCAACGCGGAAUCACUCUUGCCAACAGGUGUUACUUUGGACUAAGUGGGCAAUUGAACAGUAAAGUCCUCUCUCGACGAACAAAAAUCAAACUCUACAAGUCGCUCAUUAUUCCCGUGCUGAUGUAUGGCGCCGAAGCGUGGCAACGGCGAAUACCGCAGACGAUGGAACGAUGAGCUGUACGAUUUAUACGACGACAUUGACAUAGUUCAGCCAAUAAAAAGACAGCGGCUACGCUGGCUAGGUCAUGUUGUACGAAUGGAUGAAAACACUCCAGCUCUGAAAGUGUUCGAUGCAGUACCCGCCGGAGGAAGGGGAAGGCCUCCACUCCGUUGGAGGGACCAAGUGCAAAGUGACCUGGCUUCACUUGGUGUUUCCAGUUGGCGCCAAAAAGCAAAAAGGAGGAACGAGUGGCGCGCUCUGGUGGAUUCGGCUAUAAUCACUUAAGCGGUUUCUAUGCCAAAUAUAUAUAUAUAUAAUUCAACUGAAGAAUUCUCGAUCCGUUAUUCAUUCCUGUUAAUUGCGAUCGGGCAUUUGGCGACUCUACCGCCUGUUAUUCCAUUAAUUUACGGGAGAAAAAUGUGAUGAUUUGAUCAUCAAAGGUUUGUCAAGUCAAAUCGUAAAACGAUUGAAGAAUGUCAAAUUUGGAAACUAUUACUCUGGGAGCAUGGACAGGAAUCACCUUAUUGAUGAAUUACUAAGCAGCGUUACACGAACCAUAGACGAAACAUCUUCAGCAUCAUCAGCACUUAAAACCCAUAGAAAACGACAUAUUCCAAAUGCAGUCUUUAUGUCUAUAUAACCUAAGUGGUUCUUGAUAAAUUCAACAUAACCUACAAUCCUGGAAAUUGCAUUGAAAUCUUAUCGCUGAACUGAUGACAGUCAAGUCAAAUCUGUGACUGUCCCAUAAAAAAUCCAACAGCAGACUGACAGGAUGUUUUUAAAAAGGUGGGAGGGAAGCAACGGAAACCGGAGCGGGGAAUCUAACCUGUUCUCUCAACUCACGACUCUUCCAACCUCAUUAGGUAUUUCUACGUGGGAGUGAUAAAACAUUUUAAGUCUCUUCUAUGGUACGGAUUGACUAAAAUAGUGAAGGUAAUGAAAAAAUGCGUAUUCAAAGUCUUCUAAGCACUAUAUAGAGGGAUCUUCUAAAACACUGGAAAUCUAAAACCCAAUGUUUUUCACAUCUCCGUAUGUAUGACUACUUGAACUACUACGAACCUUGGCACUGGCUUUGUCUAUAUUACAAUAAACUCUUCUCUUCAACGGUUGUCUCGCGGUAUUUAGGAAAGAAAGAAUAAAUUCGUCUCAGAAGACAAACCUUUUAAUCGAUUAAUAUCAGACCUAUGACAACAUAAAGUUGGUGUCUUAUAGUUUAUCGUGUGUUGAUACCUCUUCCUUUCUGCAUAUCUGAAAAGUAUAACUAGUUUACAUCGACAACAGAUAAGAGGUGAUAGCACUCAAGUACUCAAUUAGAAUUUCUCAAAGCAUCGUUUAAACGAUUGACGGAAGAGAUUUAACCGUAACGGAAACGGAAUCGUAACCAAGAAAAGUAGUAACCGUAACGGCAUUGGACUCAUUACCAACAGUAUCUUCAGUAGAUAUCUCCGACGGCUGUAAAGUGAAUUAGUUUGUAAGUGGUCCCUCAAAAAAUCUCUUACAACAGAAACCAAUGCCGACAGCAAAAAUAUACUUUAAAAUUCAUAACUUUUUGCGUAGCGGCCCCGUUGCUGCAGUAGCCUAGAGGAUAGAAUGUUAGCUUAGCAAUUCGGUGAAUUGAGGUUCGAAACCCAUUGUCAGCAAUUUUUUAUUUAUUAUAACU
Molecule: long non-coding RNA, 7606 nt
Organism: Zeugodacus cucurbitae (melon fly)
Lineage: Eukaryota; Metazoa; Arthropoda; Insecta; Diptera; Tephritidae
Exons: 3
Source: RefSeq, a predicted model, not a curated record